CCCCUCUCUGGGUCGCCCCUGGAGAGUUUCCAGUCCUCUACCAGUCUCGGCUUCGGGAGGGAGAGUCGAGCAGAGGCCUAUCCAUUCCAUUCCUAGUUUGGGCAGUGGCUAGCGAGUGGCAGGCCAUCUGUUACAAGU
RNAcentral lists this small nucleolar RNA (138 nucleotides) under Ornithorhynchus anatinus (platypus). The record is from RNAcentral. Lineage: Eukaryota; Metazoa; Chordata; Mammalia; Monotremata; Ornithorhynchidae.